UACGUAGGGUGCGAGCGUUGUCCGGAAUUAUUGGGCGUAAAGAGCUCGUAGGCGGUUUGUCACGUCUGCUGUGAAAUCCCGAGGCUCAACCUCGGGCCUGCAGUGGGUACGGGCAGACUGGAGUGCGGUAGGGGAGAAUGGAAUUCCUGGUGUAGCGGUGGAAUGCGCAGAUAUCAGGAGGAACACCGAUGGCGAAGGCAGUUCUCUGGGCCGUAACUGACGCUGAGGAGCGAAAGCGUGGGGAGCAAACAGG
Molecule: ribosomal RNA, 253 nt
Filed under: uncultured bacterium
Lineage: Bacteria
Description: partial 16S ribosomal RNA
Rfam family: Bacterial small subunit ribosomal RNA
Source: RNAcentral